CCUACGGGAGGCUGCAGUGAGGAAUAUUGGUCAAUGGGCGGGAGCCUGAACCAGCCAAGUCGCGUGAGGGAAGACGGUCCUAUGGAUUGUAAACCUCUUUAGGCGGGGAGCAAUGCCGGGCACGUGUGCCCGGAGGGAGAGUACCCGCAGAAUAAGCAUCGGCUAACUCCGUGCCAGCAGCCGCGGUAUUACGGAGGAUGCGAGGGUUAACCGGUUUUUUGGGGUUUAAGGGGUGCGUAGGCGGAUUUUUAAGUCAGCGAUAAAAUGUCCGGGCUCAACCCGGGCCGGCCGUUGAAACUGGGGAUCUUGAGUGGGCGAGAAGUAUGCGGAAUGCGUGGUGUAGCGGUGAAAUGCAUAGAUAUCACGCAGAACUCCGAUUGCGAAGGCAGCAUACCGGCGCCCGACUGACGCUGAGGCACGAAAGCGUGGGGAUCGAACAGGAUUAGAUACCCUUGUAGUC
This 460-nucleotide ribosomal RNA is filed under the name uncultured bacterium. RNAcentral's name for it is "partial 16S ribosomal RNA". It matches the Rfam family "Bacterial small subunit ribosomal RNA", at positions 338 to 795 of the family's 1533-position model. The record is from RNAcentral.